AUUGAACGCUGGCGGCAUGCCUUACACAUGCAAGUCGAACGGCAGCACGGGAGCUUGCUCCUGGUGGCGAGUGGCGAACGGGUGAGUAAUGCAUCGGAACGUGCCCUGAAGUGGGGGAUAACGUAGCGAAAGUUACGCUAAUACCGCAUAUUCUGUGAGCAGGAAAGCAGGGGAUCUUCGGACCUUGCGCUUUUGGAGCGGCCGAUGUCGGAUUAGCUAGUUGGUGGGGUAAAGGCCCACCAAGGCGACGAUCCGUAGCGGGUCUGAGAGGAUGAUCCGCCACACUGGAACUGAGACACGGUCCAGACUCCUACGGGAGGCAGCAGUGGGGAAUUUUGGACAAUGGGCGCAAGCCUGAUCCAGCCAUGCCGCGUGAGUGAAGAAGGCCUGGUU
RNAcentral lists this ribosomal RNA (393 nucleotides) under uncultured bacterium. RNAcentral's name for it is "bacterial SSU rRNA". It matches the Rfam family "Bacterial small subunit ribosomal RNA", at positions 30 to 424 of the family's 1533-position model. The record is from RNAcentral.